Molecule: long non-coding RNA, 2132 nt
Filed under: Sorghum bicolor (sorghum)
Lineage: Eukaryota; Viridiplantae; Streptophyta; Magnoliopsida; Poales; Poaceae
Description: long non-coding RNA (SBIC_LNC002860)
Source: RNAcentral
GGCCCAUGUAUCAAGUUGAGUCCAUUAGGGACGCGUCCUAGGGUUGGAGGACGACUCUAGCACCCCUUUGGUCGUCCUCCCCUCUAUUUAUUUACAUCUAGAGCUGCCAUGAACAACUGGGUUUUGUUUAGAUCAAGUUUAGCCUUCGCUACUUGCUUGUAGGCGCGCGUGCAGGAUCAGCCGCCCGUCUCCUUGUCUUCGGAACCCCAUUGUUGAUUCAGAUUCAGUUUGAAACCUUCAAUUCAUCUUGCAAAUUCAGUGCUUGUUUCCUCGUUCUUGCUAGUUCUUCGAUUGCUUGCAGGACGGGAGCCCUAGGGGCUGGUUGUCGCGCUCCACAAGAUCGUGACGGCUGUUGGACGUGGUGUAUCGGUUGCUAAGGCGCGGUCUUGAGGGCUGUAGUCGGGCCGUGAACGUCUUCUCCAUCCACUAAUCGAGUUAUCCAGCGCCUCUCAUCGAAAGAUCAGGCCAAAAACCCUAGCGGGUUCGCAUCAGUUGGUAAUCAGAGCAAGGUUCUUCGGUGAGAGACUUCUAAUCCUUUGCUGUUUUUAAUUAAUUUCCUAUAGUCCAGAAAAGCCAAAAAAAAUAUAGUAGAUUAGUUUUUCCAUAAUCCUAUUAAACCUUUGUGCCUUGGCUAGUACCGUUUUAGUUAGGGCUUGUUGAAUUUGCGUUGCUUCGGUUUGUGUCGAGUUGCUGGUCUUAGUGUCUAGUCCUUUAGAGUUUCGAGUUCUUGUCACCAUCUAUACACAGCCGAGUAUUACCAUAUCUUCUCUCUGUCGAAUCUGUUGUGAAGUCCGAAUUGAACUGUGAUCCAAAAAGAAAGAUAACUCCAUACUUGUUCGGCCUUACUCUAGAGAGAGAGAGAGUGUGUGUGUGUGUAGUGAAUUGCUCUUUUGUAUUCCUUUGUUCAUAUAAUCAGUUUUUGAGGUUGCCCAAAAAAAGAAAAAAAAAGAAAAAUAAAAGAAAAGAGAAAAGAUUCAAAAAAAGGGGCUGUUUUUCAUAUUGAUUUUAGGUUUCUUCCACCUUGUUUUCGGGGGUGUGCUGUGGUUUUCCUUUGUGUCUAGGCUCGCAUCACGAUGGUUAUCCAGCGCCUCUCAUCGAAAGAUCAGGCCAAAAACCCUAGCGGGUUCGCAUCACGAUGGUUCUAUUGGGUGUGUCAUAUGGAAUCUUUCGUCGGUUCGUUUAGAGAUAGUGUUAGUAUUGGUAGAAGAUGUGUGCACGGUUUAUGCCUAAUGCACCAUAGGCUAAGAAACCAUUUUAGACGCAACCGAUGGUUCUCGUAGUUGAAGAGGCUCAAGUGGAGGCUCGAUUUGGUCUGUUCGGAUAUAGUUCUAAUCUUGAUGCAACAUAGUUGCACAGUUUGCAUGCAACGUACCAUAUGUUAAGAAAUCAAUUUGGACGCACCCAAUGGAAUUCCUAGAUGACGUGUGUCAUACAGAAUCUCACUUCAGUCUGUUCGGAGACAAUGUUAGUUUUGGUGCAAGAUAGGUGCAUAGUUUGUGCCUAAUGCACCAAAGUCUAAGAAACCAUUUUGGAAGCACUUGUUGGUACUCCUAGGUGAAGAGGCUCAAGUGGAGGCUGGGUUUGGUCUGUUUAGAGAUAGUGCUAAUCUUGAUGCAAGAUAAGUGCAUGAUUUGCAUGGAACAUACCAUAUGCUCAGAAAUCAAUUUGGACGCACCAGAUGGAAGUCCUAGAUGACAUAUGUCAUAUGGAAUCUCGCUUUGGUCUGUUUAGAAACAGUGUUAGUUUUGGUCCGAGAUAGGUGCACAGUUUGGACCUAAUGCACCACAGAAUAAGAAACCAUUUUGAAAGCACCUGAUGGUACUUCGGUGAAGAGGCUCAAGUGGAAGCUCGGUUUGGUCUAUUUGGAGAUAGUGCUAAUCUGAUGCAAGAUAGGUGCAUGAUUUGCAAAGAACAUACCAUAUGCUUAGAAAUCAAUUUGGAUGCACCCAAUGGAUCUCCUAGAUGACAUGUGUCAUAUGGAAUCUUGCUUUGGUCUGUUUGUAGGCAUUGUAAGUUUUAGUGCAAGAUAGGUGCAUAGUUUGCGCCUAAUGCACCAUAGUCUAAGAAACCAUUUUGGAUGCACUAUUUGGUACUCCUAGGUGAAGAGGCUCAAGUGGAAGCUUGGUUCGGUC